RNAcentral lists this microRNA (18 nucleotides) under Homo sapiens (human). RNAcentral's name for it is "hsa-miR-4263". The record is from miRBase by way of RNAcentral. Lineage: Eukaryota; Metazoa; Chordata; Mammalia; Primates; Hominidae.
AUUCUAAGUGCCUUGGCC